UGCCUUGUAGCCAAGUGGUAAGGCACUGGGCUCUGACCCCAGCAUCGUUAGUUCGAACCUAACCAAGGCAGCCA
This 74-nucleotide transfer RNA is filed under the name Mollicutes bacterium. RNAcentral describes it as "tRNA-Gln". It matches the Rfam family "tRNA". Rfam says of the family: Transfer RNA (tRNA) molecules are approximately 80 nucleotides in length. Their secondary structure includes four short double-helical elements and three loops (D, anti-codon, and T loops). The record is from RNAcentral. Lineage: Bacteria; Bacillati; Mycoplasmatota; Mollicutes.